This 969-nucleotide unclassified non-coding RNA is filed under the name Hevea brasiliensis (rubber tree). Lineage: Eukaryota; Viridiplantae; Streptophyta; Magnoliopsida; Malpighiales; Euphorbiaceae. The record is from RNAcentral.
AAGAAGCAGGGAAGGACUGAUGCAAGGAAAAAUUGACCGCAUCUUUUCUUUUUUAUAUAUUUUCAUUUGGUGGUGGUGUUUGAUGUGGUUGACCCGACUUGUUACCGUUUAAGACCACCUAAUUUUUGUACGAGGCCUAGAUAGUAAUGCAUGUCAUAGAUAGGCUGGAUCAUACUGUUUUUGCAUUUGAGCUAGCCUUAAAAUCGAUCGCUCAAGUCUUGUUGCCCCUCUACUGUCUACAUUGUGUUUGGCUGGGAAAACCCUGUACACGUAUUCUUGAAUGCAGCUUCAUUUCCAUUUAUGAAAGUCCUGGAAAGUUUCCUGAUAGUUUUGAACAAUGGCUUCCACUUUUUAGGUACAGGAACACACUUUCUUUCCUUUUUUUUUUUUUCAAUCAUAUCGAACUACUCCUUCUUUGAGCAAAUAUGGAAUGAGCAAGCAGAAUCUAUUAAUAACUCGUCAUGUAAUGGAUCCUUUAUUUUUUUCUCAACAACAACCACAUUCAUAAUAUCACUGUCACUAUCUUCAUCACAUGCAAUUGCAGCAGUCCCUUCUUUUCCAUGAAUCUUCUUGAAUUGUUUAUACUCUGCAAAAUCUUCCUUCAUCUUUAUACAAUUAUAUUGAAUGUGGCCCUUCUUAUGAUAGUAGUAGCAUCUCUCUCCUUAAGGUCUACUUGUGGUUUCAAGCUUGAUCCACUAUUCUUUCUCAAACUAUUUUCACGUGGAUUGCUUCUACCACGACUAGAACUAGCAACAAAAUCUUCACAUUUAUUGUUACUCCCUAUCUUCUUAAACUCCUCAUCAUCCAAAAUAACUAUGAUAACUUCCUCCACCUUUAAAAUUUCCUUCUCAAUUAUAAGGGCUAUCACUAACUUUUUAUAAGAUUGUGGGAGAGAAGUUAAAAGUAAGAGGGCUUUAACUUCUUCAUCAACUUUUACACCAACAUUAGCCAAUUGGGUAAUUAAUUUAU